Acanthopagrus latus (yellowfin seabream) is the source of this 1760-nucleotide non-coding RNA. Lineage: Eukaryota; Metazoa; Chordata; Actinopteri; Spariformes; Sparidae. The record is from the annotation of a RefSeq genome assembly.
GCUGUACAAAAACCUGCAGCACACAUCUUUCCUGGGCUGAGGGAGCCAAACAAAGUAUUUUAUGUUGUCGUUUGUGGGAUCGCUUCUCCAAAGGUGUUGGCUUGUAGUUUGAUUAUAAAAGAAUUCUGUGAAGGCAAGGCUAGGUGGAAUUGAAACAGAGCUCAUGCCAGCGUCCGAUCCAAAAGCGUCCACUUUCUGGUAUUCUCAAAUCUAUGGCAAAAGCAAAACCAAAACGCUUCGCCCUCUGCCCUAUCAGAAAUCCUAUCAAGCCUUCAAUCUUAGAAAAUCUACCAAAUACCACCUCCCCUUCUCUUCUUGUGAGAGCGUUUUCAGAGUCCCUUCUCCAGUACACACCCGCUUCUUCUAUUUGGUCACUUUGGUAAAUUAUCCAACAGAUUAAAUGAGGAGUUGACCUGCUCAUCUCCCUUAACUCAUCUAACUUGGCUCCCCAAUGGUCUCUGUCCUUCUACAGAAACAUAAACAUUUAGGCAUCUUCCACCAUUUGGCGUGGGGGUCAAACUCAGGGUUAGUACUUUAUGCUGUCCUUGUCGUCUGGUAACCUUUAACACACCCACAGCUGAAAAUCGACUGCGGAACCCUUCGAGCUGUGAGCCCACUCCAUCUACAUUUCUUAACUCACACAAGGAGAAACAAUUAGUCAUUGGUAAAUCUAAACUAAAUAAAAUCAAAGAUCGGAAUGUGUUGCCAUCCAGAUACCUCAAUAUCAUACACAAUUAUAUUAAACUUUUAAAUAUGUUGCUGAGAAAUUUUGAUAGGAAACAUUAAAUACAAUAAAGUUUAUUUGUUGAUUAAAGGCCCAAAGACAGCAAAACAAUGUGGUCACUGAAAUAAAACUAUUACAAAAUUAAACAUUUAUACAAAUUAAGAUGCAAUAAUGUAUCUAAAUUUUGUGGAAUCUGAAUGAGUCAUAAUUUAAAGGAGAAAAAUAAUGCUUCUUUUAUAAAAUUACUCGAGGGCAGUCAAUUCUCUCAAAUGUUAUUUAAAUAUUCUCUUUGUGUCAGUGUGUGUCUUACUUGUGUCUCAAAAUGAAUGUUCACAGCACAACUCCAAGCUGUGACUCCUUGUCACAGGACAGUUGAUCCUUCUUUUAUAUCCUGUCAGUGUCCUUCUCUAUGCAAAGUGAACUUCCUCACAGUCUGCUAUAAAGACUUGAUAUCAUGCUGUCAGCUGCAGCAGAAGAAGAGAAGUUCCCAUCAGAUCACCUUUAAUACCAACCAUGUUCUCUGUAGCUCUGCUGCUGCUGCUGGCUGCUGGAUCCUGUGUGAAGUGUGAACAGUUGACACAGCCAGCCUCUGUGACUGUGCAGCCAGGUCAACGUCUGACCAUCACCUGUCAGGUCUCUUAUUCUGUUAGCAGCUAUGCUACAGCUUGGAUCAGACAGCCUGCAGGGAAAGGAUUGGAGUGGAUUAUAUUUGGAGGUGGUGGAUACAGCACACGCACCAAAGAUUCCCUCAAGAACAACGUCUCUGACAGAUAUCCAAAGAACAGCUGCUUGUGGGUGAAAAGGAACAAUUUCAUGACAUCUGUCUUCAUCUACCUCCAGACAUCCUUAUGGCAUUUUACAUGACUGUUUGUUUUACAAUGAUGGAAAUUAAGAUUUUGAACCAGAGUCAGAUGUCUGUAGACUUCCAUAAGGUGUUUGGGCUGGAAGCUUUCCUUGCACCUUCACAGACGUCCAAAAAGUAGAGGAUGACAGAGAACAGUGGACACACAGUUUAACAUGAUGGACUAUAGGACAG